This 475-nucleotide unclassified non-coding RNA is filed under the name Hevea brasiliensis (rubber tree). The record is from RNAcentral. Lineage: Eukaryota; Viridiplantae; Streptophyta; Magnoliopsida; Malpighiales; Euphorbiaceae.
CGAGGGUGCAACUGGAGAAGGUCAUAAUCAAUAUUCACAGCAAAUUUCAAAACGCAAAAUUCUCCCCUGGAAGAAGAGAAACUUAAGCUUCAGAUCUCCUAAACCCAAAGGGGAGCCAUUGUUGAAGAAGCAUUAUGGAGAGGAAGGUGGGGAUGAUAUAGAUUUUGAUCGCCGGCAGCUUAGUUCAUCCGAUGAGUCUUCUUCAGGGUGGAAUAAAUCUGAGGAAAGUUCAACUGCCAAUGAAUUUUCAGUCUCCGAGUUUGGAGAAGACAGUUUUGCUGUUGGUAGUUGGGAGCAGAAAGAGAUAGUAAGCCGUGAUGGGCAGAUGAAGCUGCAGACUGAGGUCUUCUUUGCUUCAAUUGAUCAACGAAAUGAACGGGCUGCAGGUGAAAGUGCUUGUACAGCUUUGGUUGCUGUGAUUGCUGAUUGGUUCCAUUCCAACCCUGAAGAAAUGCCUAUCAAGUCCCAACUCGAC